Molecule: ribosomal RNA, 865 nt
Filed under: Termitogeton planus
Lineage: Eukaryota; Metazoa; Arthropoda; Insecta; Blattodea; Rhinotermitidae
Description: 12S ribosomal RNA
Source: RNAcentral
AGGAAGUUUUAUUCUUGCUUUUUUGUUUAGUUUGCGCUUACUCUAUAUGUAAGUUUUUGCGUGUUUGUGUUAGGGUUUAAAAGUGUUGGCUCUAGAAGGGUUUGAUGAAAAAGAGGAUUUAGUUUUUAUUUCUCAUUAGUUUUUUUUAGUUGUGUUGAGUAUUCUUUUAUUUAGUUGUGCGUUAAGGGUAUAAAAUAGGUUCCGGUUAAAUUUUGUGCCAGCAGCCGCGGUUAUACUUUGGGGGCCGUUAAACAUGUUCAGCUUAAAGGGCAGUUUUAUUAUUUGUUAUUUUGAUUUUCUUUUGGUAGGUUUCUAUUUGUGUUGGGUGAAAUUUUUAUUUUUGCUAUGUUUCUUUUAUUUUUUUGUAGGCUGUGAAAUUUUUUGUUUAAACUAGGAUUAGAUACCCUAUUAUUUUUGAAUGUAAAUUUUUUUGCUAGAGUAGUAUUAGUUUUGUUCUUGAAACUUAAAGAAUUUGGCGGUACCUUAUUCCAUUCAGAGGAACCUGUUUCGUUAUCGAUAAUCCGCGAUGGACCUUGCUUAGUUUGGUGUCAAAGUGGUUUGUAUACCGCCGUUUGUGUAUAUCUUUUUAGGGACAACAAUAUUCCCGUUUCUUAAUUCGGGUUUUAUUUCAGGUCAAGGUGCAGCUUGUUUCUAAGUGUUAUAAUGGGUUACAUUGACUAUUUGUUUGUUGGAUUCUUUCUUGUAAUUGAUGGUAUGAAAGUGGAUUUGAUUGUAAUGUUUUGUAGAUUGUUUUCAUGAUAUUUGGUUCUGGGGUAUGUACACAUCGCCCGUCGCUCUCUCUUGUUUUUUUUGGUGAGAUAAGUCGUAACAAAGUGGUUGUACCGGAAGGUGCGGCUGGAUUGAU